RNAcentral lists this ribosomal RNA (734 nucleotides) under uncultured eukaryote. RNAcentral's name for it is "SSU rRNA". It matches the Rfam family "Eukaryotic small subunit ribosomal RNA", at positions 672 to 1426 of the family's 1831-position model. The record is from RNAcentral.
GGCGUGUACUGCUUGGCUGGGCCUUACUUCUUGGUGAGCCGGCGUGCCCUUUAUUGGUGUGCGUCGGGGAACCAGGACUUUUACCUUGAGAAAAUUAGAGUGUUCAAAGCAGGCCUAUGCCUGAAUACAUUAGCAUGGAAUAAUAGAAUAGGACGUGCGGUUCUAUUUUGUUGGUUUCUAGAGUCGCAGUAAUGAUUAAUAGGGACAGUUGGGGGCAUUGGUAUUGAGUCGCUAGAGGUGAAAUUCUUGGAUUGACUCAAGACCGACUAUUGCGAAAGCAUUUGCCAAGGAUGUUUUCAUUAAUCAAGAACGAAGGUUAGGGGAUCGAAAACGAUCAGAUACCGUUGUAGUCUUAACAGUAAACUAUGCCGACUAGGGAUCGGAUGACCUCAAAAUUGAUGUGUCAUUCGGCACCUUACGAGAAAUCAAAGUCUUUGGGUUCUGGGGGAGAGUAUGGUCGCAAGGCUGAAACUUAAAGGAAUUGACGGAAGGGCACCACCAGGUGUGGAGCCUGCGGCUUAAUUUGACUCAACACGGGGAAACUCACCAGGUCCAGACAUAACUAGGAUUGACAGAUUGAUAGCUCUUUCAUGAUUUUAUGGGUGGUGGUGCAUGGCCCGUUCUUAGUUGGUGGAGUGAUUUGUCUGGUUAAUUCCGAUAACGAACGAGACCUUAACCUGCUAAAUAGCCAGGCCGGCUUCGGCUGGUCUCUGGCUUCUUAGAGGGACUGUCAG